AUACUCACUUCAGAAGCAUGCACACUAACUCUGGAACCUUCGAAGAAGCUUAGCAUGGUCCCUGCCCAAGGACGAUAUGCAAAUUCAUGAAACAUCCCACACCCUU
This is a small nuclear RNA of Phodopus roborovskii (desert hamster), 106 nucleotides long. The record is from RefSeq and is a predicted model, not a curated record. Lineage: Eukaryota; Metazoa; Chordata; Mammalia; Rodentia; Cricetidae.